Molecule: transfer RNA, 75 nt
Filed under: Candidatus Omnitrophota bacterium
Lineage: Bacteria; Pseudomonadati; Candidatus Omnitrophota
Description: tRNA-His
Rfam family: tRNA
About the family: Transfer RNA (tRNA) molecules are approximately 80 nucleotides in length. Their secondary structure includes four short double-helical elements and three loops (D, anti-codon, and T loops). Further hydrogen bonds mediate the characteristic L-shaped molecular structure. tRNAs have two regions of fundamental functional importance: the anti-codon, which is responsible for specific mRNA codon recognition, and the 3' end, to which the tRNAs corresponding amino acid is attached (by aminoacyl-tRNA synthetases). tRNAs cope with the degeneracy of the genetic code in two manners: having more than one tRNA (with a specific anti-codon) for a particular amino acid; and 'wobble' base-pairing, i.e. permitting non-standard base-pairing at the 3rd anti-codon position.
Source: RNAcentral
GCGAGCGUAGCUCAACUUGGAGAGAGCACAGGACUGUGGCUCCUGGUGUUGCGGGUUCAAAUCCCGUCGCUCGCC